This 383-nucleotide ribosomal RNA is filed under the name uncultured bacterium. RNAcentral describes it as "bacterial SSU rRNA". It matches the Rfam family "Bacterial small subunit ribosomal RNA", at positions 28 to 419 of the family's 1533-position model. The record is from RNAcentral.
GAUUAACGCUGGCGGCGUGCCUAACACAUGCAAGUCGAACGAGGUAGCAAUACCUAGUGGCAGACGGGUGAGUAACGCGUGGUCAACCUACCGUUGAGUGGGGGAUAACUAGCCGAAAGGUUAGCUAAUACCGCAUACGUCUCCGAGGGGCAUCCCUUGGCGAUAAAAGGAGCAAUCCGCUCGAUGACGGGACCGCGUCCCAUUAGCUAGAUGGUGGGGUAACGGCCUACCAUGGCACCGAUGGGUAGCUGGUUUUGAGAGAGCGACCAGCCACACUGGGGACUGAGAAACGGCCCAGACUCCUACGGGAGGCAGCAGUGAGGAAUUUUCCGCAAUGGGCGCAAGCCUGACGGAGCGACGCCGCGUGUGGGAAGAAGGCCUUC